CUGCACCUAAUUAAGCCGACUGGGUUACUUUAUUUGUGGUGGCCCAGUGUGCAGUGGCUGCAGACAGCAAUCUCCUAGCCUGUUGCUUGUAUGGGUUGCCUUAAGGGACCUUGGAAACAGCA
Molecule: small nucleolar RNA, 122 nt
Organism: Ictidomys tridecemlineatus (thirteen-lined ground squirrel)
Lineage: Eukaryota; Metazoa; Chordata; Mammalia; Rodentia; Sciuridae
Gene: SNORA70
Rfam family: Small nucleolar RNA SNORA70
About the family: snoRNA U70 seems to be exclusive to mammals and is a member of the H/ACA class of snoRNA which contain H (ANANNA) and ACA box motifs. H/ACA box snoRNAs are involved in the conversion of uridines to pseudouridines (5-ribosyluracil) a constituent of structural RNAs (transfer, ribosomal, small nuclear, and small nucleolar).
Source: Ensembl